Molecule: ribosomal RNA, 386 nt
Filed under: Phascolosoma agassizii
Lineage: Eukaryota; Metazoa; Annelida; Sipuncula; Phascolosomatiformes; Phascolosomatidae
Description: partial 16S ribosomal RNA
Rfam family: Bacterial large subunit ribosomal RNA
Source: RNAcentral
UGCUAAGGUAGGCNAAUCACUUGCCCUUUAAUUGGGGGCUAGUAUGAAUGGCCAGACAAGGGCUUUACUGUCUCAAAAGACGUAAUGAAAAUUGACCUUUAGGUGCAGAGGCCUAAAUUCUAGUGAAAGACAAGAAGACCCUAUCGAGCUUUAAUUUUACUCAUUUCUCUAAAUGAAAUAAAUUUUUAUUGGGGCAAUAAAGGCGUAAACAAAGCCGCCUUUAAUAAUUAGUUAUAUAAAAUUAUAAGAGAAACAUUUUUAGUGCGCACAAGCAUAAGCUACCGUAGGGAUAACAGACUAAUUUUCCUCGAGAGUCCACAUUGACAGGAAAGUUUGGCACCUCGAUGUUGGCUUAAAAAACAGUUAUGAAGCAGACCUCUAACCCC